CGGUGCGGAUUUGCUGCGGGGAGAUGAAGUGGAUGUGCGUGUCGAGGCCGCCCGCCGUGACGAUCAGGCCCUCGCCGGCGAUCGCCUCGGUGCCCGAGCCGACUUCGAGGCCGGGGGUGACGCCGCUCAUGGUCUGCGGGUUGCCGGCCUUGCCGAUCGCGCUGAUCUUGCCGUUUUUCAGGCCGAUGUCUGCCUUGUAGAUGCCGGUCCAGUCGACGAUCAGCGCGUUGGUGAUGACGGUGUCGGGCGAUUCGGCGUCGAGCUGGACGCUGGACUGGCCCAUGCCGUCGCGG
Molecule: non-coding RNA, 293 nt
Organism: Bifidobacterium callitrichos DSM 23973
Lineage: Bacteria; Bacillati; Actinomycetota; Actinomycetes; Bifidobacteriales; Bifidobacteriaceae
Source: Rfam